RNAcentral lists this ribosomal RNA (642 nucleotides) under uncultured fungus. RNAcentral's name for it is "eukaryotic LSU rRNA". The stretch from base 197 to 350 matches the Rfam family "5.8S ribosomal RNA". Lineage: Eukaryota; Fungi. The record is from RNAcentral.
UCCGUAGGUGAACCUGCGGAAGGAUCAUUAAUGAAUGUUUGAAUCACCUUGACUUCAGUCAUUGUGUAGGGUGAGAAUUGCUCAGGUAGUUCUCAUCCGUACUUCAUAUCCAUAACACCUGUGCACUGUUGGAUGCUUGCAUCCACUUUAUACUAAACAUUAUUGUAACAAAUGUAGUCUUAUUAUAACAUAAUAAAACUUUCAACAACGGAUCUCUUGGCUCUCGCAUCGAUGAAGAACGCAGCGAAAUGCGAUAAGUAAUGUGAAUUGCAGAAUUCAGUGAAUCAUCGAAUCUUUGAACGCACCUUGCGCUCCUUGGUAUUCCGAGGAGCAUGCCUGUUUGAGUGUCAUGAAACUCUCAAACCCAAGUUUUGGAUUUCGGUCCAGGCUUGAGUUUGGAUUUGGAUGUUUGCCGGUGAUGAACCGACUCAUCUUAAAAAGAAUUAGCUGGAUCUGUCUCUAUGACUGGUUUGACUUGGCAUAAUAAGUAUUUUGCUAAGGCAUCUUCGGAUGGCCAGGACCUAGACUAUUGUCUGCUAACUAAACCAUCGGCUUUGGAGUGGGCAUCUUUUGGGGGGUGGUCACUCCACUGGUGGUAACUUUGGACAUCUGGGCCUCAAAUCAGGGGGUAGGGGACUACCC